UACGUAGGUGACAAGCGUUGUCCGGAUUUACUGGGCGUAAAGAGCGCGCAGGCGGUCGCUCAAGUCGAGUGUGAAAGCCCCCGGCUCAACUGGGGAGGGUCACUCGAUACUGAUCGACUCGAAGGCAGGAGAGGGUAGUGGAAUUCCCGGUGUAGUGGUGAAAUGCGUAGAUAUCGGGAAGAACACCCGUGGCUAAGGCGGCUCUCUAGUACGGUACUGACGCUGAGACGCGAAAGCGUGGGGAGCGAACAGG
This 253-nucleotide ribosomal RNA is filed under the name uncultured bacterium. RNAcentral describes it as "partial 16S ribosomal RNA". It matches the Rfam family "Bacterial small subunit ribosomal RNA", at positions 524 to 776 of the family's 1533-position model. The record is from RNAcentral.